RNAcentral lists this ribosomal RNA (429 nucleotides) under Bacteroidota bacterium. Its description in RNAcentral is "Bacteroidetes bacterium partial 16S ribosomal RNA". It matches the Rfam family "Bacterial small subunit ribosomal RNA", at positions 355 to 776 of the family's 1533-position model. Lineage: Bacteria; Pseudomonadati; Bacteroidota. The record is from RNAcentral.
UAGGGAAUCUUCGGCAAUGGGGGGAACCCUGACCGAGCAACGCCGCGUGAGUGAAGAAGGGUUUCGGAUCGUAAAGCUCUGGUGUUAAGGAAGAACGAGUGUGAGAAUGGAAAGUUCAUGCUGUGACGGUACUUAACCAGAAAGGGACGGCUAACUACGGGCCAGCAGCCGCGGUAAUACGGAGGUCCCGAGCGUGGGCCGGAGUGAGUGGGCGGAAAGCGAGCGCAGGCGGUUAGAAAAGUCUGAAGUGAAAGGCAGUAGCUCAACCAUUGUACGCUUUGGCAACUGUUUCACUUGAGUGCAGAAGGGGAGAGUGGCAUUCCAUGUGUCGCGGUGAACUUCGUAGCUAUAUGGCGGCACACCGGUGGCGAAAGCGGCUCUCUGGUCUGUCUCUGACGCUGAGGCUCGAAAGCGUGGGGAGCGCACAGU